Molecule: transfer RNA, 72 nt
Filed under: Pachydactylus geitje
Lineage: Eukaryota; Metazoa; Chordata; Lepidosauria; Squamata; Gekkonidae
Description: tRNA-Trp
Source: RNAcentral
GAAGUUUAGGUUACACCGUAAACCCAGGACCUUCAAAGUUCUGAACAGGGGCCCACACCCCCCUAACUUCUG